This 452-nucleotide ribosomal RNA is filed under the name uncultured bacterium. Its description in RNAcentral is "bacterial SSU rRNA". It matches the Rfam family "Bacterial small subunit ribosomal RNA", at positions 29 to 525 of the family's 1533-position model. The record is from RNAcentral.
AACGAACGCUGGCGGCAUGCCUAACACAUGCAAGUCGAACGAGACCUUCGGGUCUAGUGGCGCACGGGUGCGUAACACGUGGGAAUUUGCCUCGGGGUAUGGAAUAAACUCAGGGAAACUUGAGCUAAUACCAUAUAAUGUCUUCGGACCAAAGAUUUAUCGCCCUGAGAUAAGCCCGCGUAGGAUUAGCUAGUUGGUGGGGUAAAGGCUCACCAAGGCGACGAUCCUUAGCUGGUCUGAGAGGAUGAUCAGCCACACUGGGACUGAGACACGGCCCAGACUCCUACGGAGGCAGCAGUGGGGAAUAUUGGACAAUGGGCGAAAGCCUGAUCCAGCAAUGCCGCGUGAGUGAUGAAGGCCUUAGGGUUGUAAAGCUCUUUACCCGUAGAUGAUAAUGACAGUAUCGGGAGAAUAAAGCUCCGGCUAACUCCGUGCCAGCAGCCGCGGUAAAG